Prosopis cineraria is the source of this 3215-nucleotide long non-coding RNA. RefSeq lists it as uncharacterized. The transcript is spliced from 4 exons. The record is from RefSeq and is a predicted model, not a curated record. NCBI's taxonomy places the organism in Eukaryota, Viridiplantae, Streptophyta, Magnoliopsida, Fabales, Fabaceae.
AGAGAGAGAGAAUUCUGAGACCAGAAGCUUCGUUCUUGUCUUCUCCUUCCUCUGCCUCACCGCGUCGUCGGCACUGGAUCAUCAGAGUCCCGUCCGCCAUUGCCGAGGUGUUUGGGCGACCUUCUUCCUUCCUUCCUUCUUCUGCACCUCUGUUUUACAGAAGGCUCCAGAAACCACCGACAAAAUGAGAGAACUUUGGUCUUCCUCCACCUACUUCUUCUAUCAUAAGCGUCGCCGGCGAGGGUGGUAAGAAAUCCAUUCGUCGCCGUUCUUUCUUGUCUGCUUCUUUGGAGUAUAACUGUUUAGGAUUUCAGUAAUCAUCCUUCAUGUCCCUGUUCGACGUCCCCUGUCGGUGUAUGUGUCGGAGGUUGUGUGAGGAGCUUGGUCGUUGGAGAAGCUUGUGGUGCUGCUGUUAUAUGUUACCGUCAGCCUCUCAUUUGCCUUCCUCAUUGCAGCUAUGUCUGAAUCCCCUCCACCCCUGUUCAAUAUUGUGCAAUCCUUUUUCUCUCCUUGCUUUUUCUGCUACUGAUUGAAGGGUGUUAGAAGAAAGAGGACUUGACUUUAAAGAGUGAAUUUGCACUUGGGGACUCUACGGAUUUAUUAGUUGACGAUGAACCUCCUGCCGAUCAUUGGAAGGCUUGCUACUGUACUAGGUGAAUAUUUAUUUUAAGAAUGUCUUUUCUUUUGAUGUAUAUUUUCAAUUAUGUGUUUUAUGUUGAGACAAUAAUUUAGGUGCUCCACAUUAACUAUAGAUGUACUUAUGGUUUGGAAAUUUAUAUAGAUUUCCUGUUGUCGAGAAACAAAGUUUUGUAUUAUUAAUUUAUUUGAAAAUAGUUAUUGUAGAGAUCUGAGGUGUCUUAUUUACAAAGGAAGUUCUACGAAAAUCCCUGCAUCGAGUUUAGUAUCUUUUGUUUGCAUGGAAAAAAUGUUACUAUGAUUUCCAACCCUAUUUCAAAUAAAUUAAGAUGUUAAAUUAGAAUUUUCUUGCUAAAGGCUUAAAGGAUGUAUGUUUGUGCAUAUAUCCUGUGCCAAUCACAUCUAAUUUUUAGGGUGUGAUAGUUUAAUUACUUACCCUUGUAAACUGUGUGUCCACAUUUGUUUUGGUGACAUAAGUCGUGUUUGGUUAUUUACCUUCGUGGAUUGUGUGCCCACGUUUGUGAAUUGUUCUGAUAAAUUUCCAAAAGUAUAAAUUUUUAAUUAAUUGAUUGAUAAUUUUACACUAAUGUUUUUUAAUUAGAAAAUUGUAUUAUUUUUAUUUAUGUAUUUAUUUAAUUAUUUUGACUUGUCAAUAUCAAAUAUUAAAGCUACUUUAUCGUUAUAGAUUUAAAGUUUCUUGAUAUUGAAAUCAUAUAAAACUUGUAUUCUGAGCUUACAAAUUUGUUUACAUUAAACUGUUUUCUCUUUAAGUUAUGCAUAUGUUAUAGUUUAUUCAUUUUGAAUUUGCAAAACAUUAUGGUUAGAACAUUAUUUACUGAAAAAUAUUUUUGGUCUCAUAUAUCUUGUACCUCUGUCAGAUCAUUCAAGGCAUUUUGCUACAGGAUUGAAGUUGUGAUGUCAUUUUGGUUAAUCUGUAUUUUUUUUAUGUAAAAUUUUAAUCUAUAUAUUGUACUUUUAUAAAUAAUGUUACAAGUGCUCUACAUAGGCUAUAUUGAGGGUCUUUAUUUUGUAAAUAUUCUAUUUAUUAGUUAGAAGGAGCUAAGCUCCUAGAUGUUACAAUAUUUCUUUAAAAAAAUUGUAUUAUAAAAUUUUAGGGAAAUCCUAUUCUCAAGGGAGAUUCUACCAAAAUUUUGACAAAAAUAUUAAGGUUUUAUUUAAAUGAGAAGUAUUUUUAAAAUGAAACAUUUUUUAAAUUAGGCUUAAGGGAUGUGUAUUUAGAUGCAUAUUCUGUGACAGUCACUCUCAUAUUUUGGGGUGUGACAAGAUGAUUAUUUUAUCUUAUAGAGAUGCUGUUGAAUGCAAUUGAUUAGUAUAAGUGAAUUAAAAUGAAAACUUAAUUAAAAAUGUAUAAGUCAAUUGUUCAAUUUUUUCUUUUGAAGACAUUUUUUAUCCUACAAUUUUAUCAUUAAUUUAUUGGUUCUAUAUUUAAAUUUGAACUUUUAACAAUUUCAUGAAAAAUAAGCCUAUAGAUCAAAAGUGAUUUUCUUUUAAUCAUAUCUUCUUUGAAUUGGUGUUAUUUCCACUAUUGAAGCUAUUAGAAUUGUCAAAUUUAAACAAUUUGAUUUCAUUUAUAUGGGAUGAUUGGCUUCUAGACAGCUCAUUUAGUAACUUGAAAGAACUGGUCGUGUGUGGCUUUGUGAAAUUAAUGCCCUUCCAAGUUCUAAAAUGCUUACACAAUCAAGAAGAACUAAAAGUGAGAGAUUGUAAGGAGUUGGAGAUGGUGUUUGGUUUAGAAGCUUUGAAUGAUUGUAAAGAGAGACAGGCAUCAUCGAUAGUUGUGCCAUUGAAAAAGUUAAAGCUACGAUACUUGCCAAAAUUGAAGAAUGUGUGGAGCAUCACCACCAAGAAAAUGUCUCCUUCCAAAGUCUAAGGCAGAUACAAGUUUAUUUUUGUGAAAGCUUCACAAGUAUGUUUCCUGCAUCUAUUGCUAAAGGCAUGCUUCAUCAUCUUGAGUAGCUUGACAUAUUGAAAUGUGGCGUACAAGUAAUUGUUGCAAAGGAUCAAGUUUCAAAGUCUGUUGAUGCUUCAUUUGUGUUUCCUAGGCUGACUUCUCUUGCCCUUUGUUUCCUUCCAAAUUUGAGCAACUUCUAUCCAUGGAGACACAAAUUAGAAGGGCCCCACCUUCAAUAGUUACAUGUUAGAAAUUGUGAUGAAUUAGAGAUAUUUUUUUUUAAAAAAAUCUCAAGUUCAUCAAAAAUACAUGGAGAAGGGAGCACACUAGACUCAAAAUAUCCUCUACACUCUUGCGACAAGGUUAAUUAUUCCCAAUCUGGAAGAGUUGCGAUUGGACGGAAAAGAAGUGGACAAGAUCAGGAGUGGGCAGUUUGCAAUGCACCGCUUUCCAAAAGUAAAAGGGCUUGGUCUAUAUGCUAAAAAAGCAACAACUUUGUUGUACAAAUCAUUAUUGUCCAGCUUCCCAAAUUAAGAGCAUCUCACAAUAGGCAGUGAGUUUAAGGGGAUAUUGUCAAGUAAGGAUCCUUUUGGAGGGGACCAUGUUGCUACACUUGUUGUUCCCUUUCUAAAAUUAACUCUCCAAGAUAUUUCCAAUAUGAUAAGCA